UUAGUCAUGGCCGAGUGGUUAAGGCAAUGGAUUUGAAAUCCAUUGGGUUCUUCCUGCGCAGGUUUGAAUCCUGCUGACUACG
This is a non-coding RNA of Stegostoma tigrinum, 82 nucleotides long. Lineage: Eukaryota; Metazoa; Chordata; Chondrichthyes; Orectolobiformes; Stegostomatidae. The record is from the annotation of a RefSeq genome assembly.